UUGGCUUCCAAGGAGCAUCAGUCGUCAAAUGUAAAACACUGGUUCGUGGGACCUUGGGACGGGCGGUGCAGCAUCAGGAAACCAGUGCCAUGGUGCUGGUGGAACACGUGAGCUUGUCUCUAGAGGCACUUGAUCUUUGGAAGCGUGGGGAUAGUUUGUGGGACAAGCAAGAGGCUAUUUGUUUCCGAGGAGCAGAGAAAGGGGAAACCCAGCCAUUGAACUAACUGUGAAACCGCAGCUUCUGUGGGCCUCCAUUCCUUCCUGAAAACGAGAAAGUGAAUUAUGGUUUCUGAAUGAAAUACGGAUCAGACGUUAACGCAGAAACGGCAACCGCACACCUUUUCCCACCUGUUCGGUUCGUCUGAAGCGUGAUGUGGUCGGAGGACGCCUCGGGAAGGCGGGUCAUGAACCCCCCAGAUACGUGCUGUGUGGCCUCAGGAAAGAUGUUUCACUUCUCUGAGCCUCGGCGUCCUCGUCUCCACAACAAGCAUGCUAGACUGCAGGGGCUUUGCGUGACCGGGUCUGAAUCCUUUGAUGCCCCCAUAACCUGUAACUUUAAAGGCCUUAGCUCCCCUAACGCAACAUGUGUGAGUGCUUUUCUACUGCUCCACUCUGGGAUUUCCCUGUGCCCCGAUUCCCUGGGUGUGUGUAGACAAGGCAAUGUCUCCGGGUGCCGCGGGGUCUCUGCAGGAAGUGGCACGGGUGAGUCAGGGCAUGUCUCUCCGAGUCCGUGAGGAGCCGAUGUCCCAGCAGGCGAGGGGACAAGUGCUGGAGGGGGAGUCCUUCACAUGAGUGGGGAACCUGACCACUGACUCUCAGGGUGUCGUCCAUCACAGCAAAGAGGUUAUUGCCAACGCGUUUCCUCUACCCCGAUGUGGGUCAUUAUAUUUUUCAGUUAUCUCUCGAUUAUCUGCACAGGCUCAACAAGACACACCAUCACCCCCUUCCUGUCUUACCUAGAAGCAUCCAGAUGCAGCACGGCCCUGCCAAUGAGGGGAAAAUCUCGGGGUGCUCUCCAAACAUGGCCUCUCCCCUUUUCCAUUCUAGCCCACAAUCACCUUGAGCUUUUCACCUGACGGCAUUUGCUUGACUUCUCAGUGAGGAAGGGCAAAUGGCAGCUUUAGUCUCCUUCAUUCCCCCGGAUGGGACCUUUUUGGGUUUCCUGAGGAGAAGGAGACAGGUGACUUUGAGGUCAAGUAUGAGGGAAGAGGCCUGAGUUCCAGGUCCAGGGACCUCCCGGCCGGGAUCCAGGUUUGAGUCUGGGGGCGUUCUGCAGCGUCUCUGGCCUCAGCCCACGAGAUUUCAUGAGCACCCCGUGCCCACUGUGACAACCAAAAUUGUCUCCAGAUACCACCAAAUGUCCCCUGGGGUCAAAAUCACCCCCAUUGAGAGCCACUGCUGUAGACCUACUCCUCUCCUUCAAGAAGUGAAGGCCCAAAGCGUCUGCAACCGUCCAAACCACUUACAACUCACCAGGGAGAGACAGUCCUUGCAAACAAAAACCAUGCCAGACCUUGGCAGCUGCAGGCCCUUUGGGGAGCCCCUGGUGUUCCCUGGAGCAGCUCCCCCUCUCUCACCACAGACGGGCCGCCCUAGAUCCGCCAGGAGGGACUCUCGGAGGUGGGGCCCAGGUAGGCCGAUGUCAGGACCUCGAUACAGCCCAGAAUGACGCUUGGAGGGUGGCCGGCAGGCCUGGCUUGCCGGGCUACAGCCUGUGCUCUGGGGAGCCCCAGAGCAGGGCAGACCCAGACGGUUGCUUCUCUGUCAGGCUGCUCUUCCAAAUGGCUUUGGCCGUGGUCAUUUCGAGUUUGGGACACAGAUGUUUCCCAGUUGUCCACAGGAGGAGAGGGGGCUUGGAGCCAGCUUCUCGUGGGACAUUUGAGACCUGCCAACUUCCCAGGUUCGUUGCUGCAAUUGCUCCUUGCUCUUGGGAAACCGGAGUUGCUAAGAGGUGAGAUUAGGUGAGCAAGUAGGUGAUCCAAGUCCUGUUGGGUGGUGGGCAGGGACCUGUUCCCAAGCUCGUGCUGAGACCAGUGUCCGUCCCUGCUGAGAGCCAGGGUGCUUUCCGUGGAUGCCCCGCUCUGCGUGGGAGCCCGUGCUGGGACUGGUGGUGAAUGCCGACUGCACGUGGGUCACCGUGUGAUCAACGCUGGAAUGUGCUCUGCCCACGGCCAGAGGGGAGGAGGCCAGUCUCUGUUGUCCUGUGUCUUGUUAAAACUGUGGUCGCGGAGACCCCUCGGGGCUUGCUCAGCCUGGGAGUGCUUCUGGCUUGGGGACCCGCUCGGUCCCCUGCCUGGUGUGCACGCCCCAGACAUCAUCUCCAGAGCCGGGGUGUACAGCCAACCCCCCAGGGGCAUCAAUGAUCCGUCUAUCUUCCCUCCCUUGUUUGCGACUUUUGUCUGUCUUCAAUGUAAGCUUCCGUAGAUUCCUGAAGUUUUAAAGGAAACAGUGUUCUCCUUUUCGAAGGAGAAACGAUUGAUUUUUUCCUCCUUAAAUUAUGUAGAUGGAGAUCUGUCCGCACUCGGUUAGUCUCAUGUCUACCAAGAUGUCAUUACUUAUAGAAGAGCCUGGGAUUUUCAAGAAUAGUAACGUGUUACCCAGGAUCACCAGGGGAAAGGCGACUGGCGCAUUCGGUAGGCGGAGAUCACUGGACACCAGGCCUCACCUGGCCACUUAUCUAUAAUUCCGUGCUAAUGUUCGUAUUGGUUCUGGUACCGGGACUGAACUUUUCUUGUCAAUGUGAUGUUUUACUCCUUGGCUCGGUGCGGAGGAAAGACACAACAUUUGCAGCCGGGAGAUGUCUCCUCGCUAGCGCAGGGAGUUCAGGCAAGUCCCAGGGCCACCUCAGGCCUGGUCUUCUAUCCACGGAGUGUGGACAGCUUUCCUACCGCACGGGGUGUUGUGAUUGUAACCUGAGGCGAUAGCUGUGAAGAUGCUUUGAAGAAUCAAAAGCACUUUUGGGGCGCCUGGGUG
Ailuropoda melanoleuca (giant panda) is the source of this 2973-nucleotide long non-coding RNA. RefSeq lists it as uncharacterized. The record is from RefSeq and is a predicted model, not a curated record. Lineage: Eukaryota; Metazoa; Chordata; Mammalia; Carnivora; Ursidae. The transcript has 3 exons.